RNAcentral lists this long non-coding RNA (5784 nucleotides) under Triticum aestivum (bread wheat). RNAcentral's name for it is "long non-coding RNA (TAES_LNC013312)". The record is from RNAcentral. Lineage: Eukaryota; Viridiplantae; Streptophyta; Magnoliopsida; Poales; Poaceae.
CCCCUAUUCCCUUUUGCCUUUCCAUCCCCAUCCUCCACGGCUCUACGGCGGCUGCCCUGCUGCUUCACCUCCCCCUCCUCGGCGAGGCGCCUCACGAGUGCCGCGAGGUCAGCGCGGGCGUCGCGAGGGAGGUGGCCAAUACGGCGAGGCGCCGUGCCCGCAUGAGCACCGCGAGGUCAAAGGGCUACAGCGGCCAAUAGGGCGAGGCGCAGCGACAUCACCGGCUCCGCGAGGUCCAGGGGCGGAAGCGGUCAAUACGGCGAGGCGGUGCCUGUCCGGCGGCGUACGGGCUCCGGCGUGUGCUCGACACGACCUUGCUCCUGCGCCUCCUACCUGGGCCGGACCUCGCGCCGCGUGUCGACCACACCCGCAUCACCAAGCUAACCAACGGCGUCCGCGUCGACUCCGAGGAUGUCCCGGUACUACCCACCUCUCCCUCCCCUCUUCCUUCCGAUGAGUCCAUGGCUGCCAGCGGCCACCGUCUCCGAGCUCACGAACACCCAGAUUUGACAGGGAGCAGCACAGGGAUGUCGAUUUUGGCAGCUCUGCUCUGAUAAUGGCGUCAGAGUACAAGUUGCUAGUUUUCAGCAUGAGGAGGGAGAAGAUGAUUUAAAUGUUUUGGAAUGACUAAUCCAGUGAGGAUGGUGGAGAAGAAAAUAGAAGGAGUGUGUAUGUCAAAACUGAAGAAAAGCAGACCACCUUGGUGGCUCUGUUCUCACAAAAGAAGAUUGUUUACUGUUUCACACAAAAUCAGAUUUUUUGCCAGCAACUCAUCCACCUUGGUCUCAUCUUUCGUUGACGGCGGAGCACCACGUAGCAGUAUCUCUGCGAAAAUCCAUAGAAGUAUCGGAACCGGCUGUGGAUAUGGGAAAAAGAAAAUCCCUAAAUGUAUCUCUGAAACAAUGGCAUUUUUAAAGUGAAUGAACUAAGACUAGCAGUUCAUUUUAAUUCUGUUGUGGGAAUCUAUUUUGGAACUCAAUUCUGAACACUUUUCAAAGAGAUAGCAGCUGCCACUGUUUCAAGAAUGUACUAAUUCUCUGAAAAUCGCUUUGUUUUUCUGUAGCAAGUUGUCGUAUGAAUUCUGACAGAAAACUGUCAUUUGUUCAAGAAGGAAUUAUUUUCUGAAUCUUUUUUUGUAUUUCUGUAGCAAUUUAUUGUAUGAAUUCUGAACACUGUGCAAGGAAAUCAGCAGCUGCCAUUGUUCAGAGAAUGAGCUAAAUCUCUGAAAAUCGCUUUUGUUUUUCUGUAGCAAGUUAAUGUAUGAAAACUGAAUAUUGUUCAAAGAAAUCAGCAGCUGCCAUUAUUUUUACAUCAGUUUACCCCCUCUUAGUAGAAAGGAACAACUCAUUUCUCUCGCUACUCCUAAUUUUUUGUUGUGCUUUUCUGUAGGAGGAGAAAUUCAUCAUCAGAUCACAAGAACCACAGAACAGCAAGGGUGAUAUUCAGGUUGACAUAUUUCCAUAGACAACCUAACCUGUACAGGGAUGAGUAAGAGAUGAAAAACUUCAAUUGAAAGCACCGCAAAGGUGUCUAAGCAAUGGUAACAUCAUUUGAAGAACAUCCCUUUCCUUCCCCUGAUUUAUCGUAGGUUAAUAACUUACAGCGUAAAUGUCAAUAACUUACAGCAUAAUUAUCUUUUUAUAGGCAGUCUUUCACACUAAAACGACAACACAGGCCUUACAAGAUACUUCCUUUUUUCGUACACUGUUCUUCCUGCUAGUAUCAGGUUCAGUAACAUACACACAAGUAAAAAUGCUCAUCGUUUCUCUCUGCGUCCACCAUGCAAAAAAAGAAGUGCCCCAAGAAGAUAAUUGCCUCCAUUUCUUUUCCCAUAGCAUCCUAUGCGCGUUGUAGCUCUCUAGUCCAGCCCACGACGCCGCGUUAUGUCGCCUGUUUUUGGAGGACAGAUAAAGGGAAUUAGUCCCUUCUGCUUUCUAUAUAAGAAAAUAUGAUAGCCAUAAUAAAUCCUAUAAGAUUAACACUGCUAGUCCAGAAAAUUUAAGCAUUACUGGGUUAUUUUGGGGGCAUUGUGGCUUUUUAUGGCCUGGCAGCCUGCACUUGGAACACUUCCUUGCUGCUUUUUGUUUCUUAAGCUUAUCAGAAGCCUUUUCAUACAUGGUCUUUGGCCUAUCACCAAGUUUGAAACCUUUUGUGCGUGACAGCGGGGGGUCUCUCAAACCAAAUGUUUGAUGCACCUCAACGCCACCCAUGCUAGACGCACCAAUGGUAGACACAAUGUUUUGAUGCACCUGCAUAGGGAUGUGCAGGUCGCCAUCCCCCUCCUGCCUGGCAUCAACAUUCAGCUGCUGAGGAUCAUCAAUACACCGUCGCUUCCCACCUGAGAGUUGUUGUUCUUGGCGGAGCCGCUUGUCUAACCUGACUUUGUUUAUUGCCUCACCGAUUCCUUCCACGAACAGGUCGUAUGACCUGUCGUCCGUGCAUUCGUUUGACAAUGCGUCGGACACCUGGCUCAUGACUAUAGAAUGCCUGACUGUCAAGUGUGUUCUCUGUCCAUUUUGACCAACAUUUCCAUCCGUCAUCAUAGCUAACACAUGCCCUGCAGCUACUGUCCACCUAGGAUUUAUAAAGCUUUCAGGGAGGCUACUCAACCCAAUGUGUCUUGCUACCGCUAGGACGUGGCAGCAAUGCAUACCGUCCCGACUGAACUUGGAACAUGAGCAGCGGUAGACAUCAUCAGGUGAUAUUGACACAGUGUAUAUCCUCUUUGAAAACUCUGCGUCCUGGUAUUUGCCCCGCCUUGUCACCAGAAAUGUUCUUGUUUCGCCAGCAGCAGCAACGACCUCAACUCUGUAAGCUGUGGUUUUUUUCAUCUCUUCCACAAAUUUGGCGUAUAUUGGUGGUGUGUAUAUCUUUGCAGCCUCUCUUUCCAUAGGGUCGUAACUCCAGUAACGUUGUUCUCUCAGUUCUGAUUUCUCUCUCAGUCGAUCAAGGUCGCUAUGCUUCUUUUCCUGCACAAUCUGGUACUGGUUGAAAAACGUCGCAAUCGAGUCUUUUCGGAGGACGUAGCCUUUGAACAGAGAGUUGGUGCUCUCGCUCCUCCCAGUUGAUGACGUGAAUGGGAAAAAUUUGUCCAUGUAGUACGCAGGGACCCACUCAUCUCUGAUUUCAAACAACCGCUUUAGGUGGGUUUCAUCCUGAGCAUCAUGCUUCUCCAACAGAGCGUGCCAUCCGCUCUCAAACUCUUCAGGCGUGAACGAGUUCCUGAUUAGGCUCCGGAGCUCUGCAUGCAAAGUUCCUCGGGCAGCAAAGAAAGUGACUAGUUUCUGUUUCAUUUUCCUCUGGAUGUGCCAGUUGCAGAAGCGGUGGGUUGAGUGCAACAUGACAGCACGUAUAGCAUUCCGCAUUGCGACAUCCUGGUCUGUUAUUAUGGUUUCCGGGUGCAGACCCCCCGUCGACCUCAGAAAUGCUCGAAACAGCCACCUGAAUGUGUCUUCCUUCUCAUCCUUUAACAAUGCCGCACCAAACAGGACAGUCUUUCCAUAGUUGUCCACACCAACCACAGGGGCAAAUGGCAUAUUGUACUGGUUUGUGGAAUAGGUGGUAUCAAAAGAGACAAACUGCCCAAACUGGCUGUAGUUUGCUCUACCGAUCUGAUCUGUACACUUCUAACGGUGUUGUGUGCGUCGACCUGGAGCUGGUAACUGAAACCUGGCAUCUUAUCCUCAACGCUCUUGAAAAUUUUCAGCAGCUCCUCAAUGUCUUUGUUCUUGUGUUUAAGUCUUUUCUUUGCAUUGCGGUUGCUCAGAUACUUAGCAUCAAAAGGUACUCCUCUGAAGCUCCCCAUCAUCCUCCUGAAUAUGGUCAUCACUUUCCUGGGGGGCACUCUGCUUUCUUGAAGAAUGUCAAUCAAUGCCUUGUCAGAUUCAGACAUCCUUUUGUGGCACUUCAUAAACCUAACCAGCCACUCACUGGGAGCCAGCUCAUGAUUGUGCUGAAGCUUUGUGGAUUUUAUAACCCAUCGUCCAGAUUCCUCCUUCACUAUUAUCUUAACUGGGCACAUUGUCCUGUUGAUUCUGGAAGUCAUCCUCUUCCUCAGCGCAGAAUCGUUGCACGCAUUCGCCCGACUCCGGUUACAGCUGAAUGACUGCUUGUUUAUGUGCUUUGAAACCCUCGACUCAUAUGUGGUGUCCCUUUUUACCGCAAAACCCAUACGCCGGGCAUAUGAGGCGAAAAAGAAGAAUGCUUGGUCCCUCGAAUCGAACUCAAGACCUGGCUCCGGCGCAGGAGCUUCCAUGAUUUCCCGGACAGAUGGAUAAUCACCAUUACCAAACAUUCGGUCCAUAUCAUGUUCCUCGGCUGUCGGGGGCUCAGGUUCAAGUGCACUUUGAAGCUCUGGGUCUGCAGCCACACCAUCAGUCUGUUCAACACCAUCCAGCACCGAAUCUCCCUGGUCCGUGGCUACAGCUGCACGAUCCACCGGAGUCGGGCCUUGCUGCGCCUGGUGGACUGCGGAAGCAACGUAUCCACCCUCAGCAAGCUCAUCUUCAUGUAUAUCCAUAACCUGGGAAAAACAUACAGAUGCAAUUCCUUUUUUCUGUAAGUAUUUUUCUCUUUUUGGUUAUUUUUAGAUAGGUACACCUCACAAACUUGUGCAUUUUUCAAAACAUCCCAUAAGAGUCAUAGUUUCCUUUUCUUCAUACCUCAUUCAAGUCGAAGAGUGGUGGCUGCCUUUGCUCAUGUGACUCUGUUGUAUCCAUGUCGAGAACAUCAUCAACCCAAGUGCCUGCUGCAUCGGGACCAUCCUCAUAUGCAUCAAUAGCCUGGGGGCGGCACAUAGAAAAGCAUUUGUGUUUAUAAGCUCCUCAUUUUUAUCUCUUUUUUGCUAGUAAACAACAUGCAUGCAACUUGUGUUUGUUCAUCAAACCAUAGGUAUCUAAGUCAUGUUUCUUUUGUACCUCGUUUAAAUCAAACAGUGCAGGUUCUUUAUGCUCAUGAGGAUCUGUUCCCGCGAAAGCCCCUGGCCCCGCCAUGCCAAAAGCAAUAUUAGCUGAAUGACUCGCCGAAUUUAUGGUAGCCUCAACUGCCGCAAGCUCUUGAAUAUUCUCUUGCUCCUCUCUAGCGCGACGCCUCUGCACAAAUGACUUUUUUGUGUUCCAUGAGAGGGAACGGGGAGGAGGGGAGUGGCAGAGUUAGCAUUUUUCUACUUAUUGAACCUCUUGCUUUUUGCUACAAAGAAUUAUUAAAGAGAGAGGGGGUUGGGGGUGAUACCUGUGUAAAUCUUUCCAGUAAAACGUGCAUUGGCAUGCUUGAUGAACCAGCAUUCAUCAUUUCUCUUACUAGCGGAGAGAUCACACCAGCACUGGUCAUCUGAAAAGGAAGAAAAAAGAAAUGCAAAUUAGAACAGUCACUUGUCUUUUUCCUGCAAAAUCAUAAAUGUGCAUUGUUCGAAGUCACAUAUCCAGUUCAUUUCUUCUUUUAAUAUUUUUUCCGCUUACAUACUAUAUAUAUUUCCUACAGAUAGAAAGAAUCCUCAAGAUCCCGGUGCAUUCUUUUUUGCUGUCGAAACUGAAGAAAGAGAGUGCCAGACAACAUCCUGUGUUCAUUUUCUUUUUAAUUUUCUUCCAUGAGAAUCAUGGUUCUGUAAACACAGCAGCAGUUUCAAAAUGGCUCAAAAAGUACAAUGCAUUCUUUGUCAUGUAACAACGUUCCUAAGCUAUUAUUGAAUGAUCACGGUUUUUUUCAACACGUCCUGGACUUUACAUUUGAUAUAUACAUCAAGUUUCUGGGACAAAAAACCAUCAUGGACAACAUAUUUUUUUGCUC